RNAcentral lists this non-coding RNA (21 nucleotides) under Mus musculus (house mouse). The record is from RNAcentral. Lineage: Eukaryota; Metazoa; Chordata; Mammalia; Rodentia; Muridae.
GCCUAGAUGAUCUAGACUUCU